Arachis ipaensis is the source of this 1625-nucleotide non-coding RNA. NCBI's taxonomy places the organism in Eukaryota, Viridiplantae, Streptophyta, Magnoliopsida, Fabales, Fabaceae. The record is from RefSeq and is a predicted model, not a curated record.
UCGCGACACGGUAACUUUUGAGAAAGAACCCAUGCCUUCGAUCCCGCCAGCAGCAAAGAAAGCGACGAAAAGCAAAGCUUCUCCUCCAAAAACAAUUUCUCUUCCCACAAUGCUUCUUCCAAGUACGAUUUCGUUAAGGUGAAGGUGCGGUUGGGUAAUAAUGUGGAUCACUACUAUGUGGAUAGGACUGAGAUUGGAUUGUGUUGAAAAGUGUUGUGCUUGCCCUUAUAGACUGGAUUUAAUGCUGCAAUGUGGAUUCAAUUUGGUUAGUAUCAUUUGUGAUUAGUUUGUUGGUUGCAGAUUCCGAAUCAUGUAGCUAUUAAAAUUGCUCUUGAACUGAAGAAGCUGCUCAUUGACAAUAGCCUUCUAGAAGUGUAUGAAUUAUUCGGUAACUAUUUCAGUGGCUCAAUUCUAGAGUGGAUAGGCCAAACGAAAAACUUGCGGUUUCUUGAUUUCUCUCAAAACUUGUUCUAUGAAACCAUUCCCAUCCGAGAAAAGUUGAAAGACAAGCUAGAAGAGUUUUUCAACUGUCAAUACAAGAACUUUGUUGAAUUCACUGCUUUAAUCAGCUGGAGGAGAGGUGCAAACAUUGGGGGGGCAUAGUGAUGAUAACAGACCCUAUCUCAAAUAGCAGCACUUUGCAGUCAGAAUUUCAUUUUCCACUACUCUCAUUUAUUGAAUUUUAUUUAAUACUGUUGCUGACAACUUUUGUUCAUCAAGGUAGUGUACUAUUUAAAUAAGUAUGGCAAGGAUUUCAAUGGUGGACUCUUCCGUUUCCAGGAUGGCCAGCCAAUGUCAAUUAUGCCAAUGGCUGAAGUAAUAAAUAUUUAGAAAUGAAUUUAGAUAAACGUUUAGAUAAAUGUUUAGAAAUAUUUAGAAAAUGUUUCGCUUUUUAAGAAUGGUGGUGUUUGGUUCACAACUGAAGAUUUAGAUUCCUCCCUUACCACCAGAAGGUGAGAGGGUGUUCAAAGGGUGUGUAUCUGCUAGCGAGUUGGAACUGAUGGAACUCUUUAAGGACUACACAUGCAUGAUUUGCCAUUGUCCUAACCCAAGGAACACUCACAUAUUUGGUAACUGCAUCAUUCAGAGUACCCCUUCUGUCUCACCCAAACUAGAUGCUUCUACUCGGUAUCCUUCUCACUCCUUUCUCCCCUUCUGUCUCACCCAAGCUAGAUGCUUCUACUCGGUAUCCUUCUCACUCCUUUCUCAUUGUCUGCUUUCUCUGCAACAAGAAUCUUGGGCAUGGUAAAGACAUCUACAUGUACAGGUAUGUCUAAUGCUGAUUACAACUACUGCUUUAAUUUAGUGUGCCAAGUGAUUUAGUUAUUCAAUCAAUGUUCAGGGGUGAGAGAGCAUUUUGCAACAAUGAAUGCCGUUACCAGGGGAUGCUGAUGGAGGAAGAGAUCAACAAAUUGGAAGCUGAAGAGGCUGUUUAUGGGACUUAGUUCCUCCCACCAAGUCUCAAGUCUCAACCAUUAAUAAUAAUCAACUUCCUCUUCCAUUUUCAGUUUUAAUUUCUAGGUAGAAACUAUAUAUAUAGAAAUUGUAUCUAUAGAAAAUAGAGUUGGGGGUUUGAAUUAAAAGGUUAAGUUAGAGGUGAUUUUUGUUGAAAUCAUGAAUUAGGG